CUAGAAAGAAGGGAUUCGAACCCUACCAAAAGAGAUCAAAACUCUUAGUGCUUCCACUACACCACUUUCUA
RNAcentral lists this transfer RNA (71 nucleotides) under Mugil cephalus (flathead mullet). Its description in RNAcentral is "tRNA-Gln". Lineage: Eukaryota; Metazoa; Chordata; Actinopteri; Mugiliformes; Mugilidae. The record is from RNAcentral.